GACCAUAUUUACUGUUGCCGUGGGGAACGGGUCAGUAACAACGCUCAUCUUCUUCUCUGGAAAUCUCAGUUUGCCAUUAUCAAUCCAGCUUUAGACGUUGUCUCAAAACACGACGUAAUUGUUUGUCGUAUGUUUGCUUGAAUUAUGGUAUUUGCAAUAUAUCUUUCUUUUAAGCUCUUCGGCCUUGGGAAUGUUGUGCCCAGGCCGAAGUUUGAUGAUCCUCGCU
Molecule: long non-coding RNA, 226 nt
Filed under: Malus domestica (apple)
Lineage: Eukaryota; Viridiplantae; Streptophyta; Magnoliopsida; Rosales; Rosaceae
Description: long non-coding RNA (MDOM_LNC011259)
Source: RNAcentral